Long non-coding RNA from Rhipicephalus sanguineus (brown dog tick), 693 nucleotides. RefSeq lists it as uncharacterized. The record is from RefSeq and is a predicted model, not a curated record. NCBI's taxonomy places the organism in Eukaryota, Metazoa, Arthropoda, Arachnida, Ixodida, Ixodidae. The transcript is spliced from 3 exons.
AUCGCACGAAUCAGAGGCAGUGCUCUCGACCGAUCACUUCCGAGGACAUUCUAACCUUUGUGUGACAUGUACAGCGACAGGCAAGCUGUCAUUCAUUCGGGAACUAUACGACUAUUCUACGCUAAAAGCUUAGAAUAUAGCAUCGAACCCUAGUUGUCCGUGUAAUGGAACGCGUCUGGACGACGUCUGUGCGACGUGACGCCAUCUCGCGAGGACAACAGAAAACUGAGAAAAACAAACAGGAUUGUGAUUUCCUUAACUUUUUUCUUGUACCUACGUAUUUAUGAAAAACAACGUGGCUUAAUUAAGCGUAAAAAAAAGCGUCUACUUGUGCGCAGACGACCAUACGGGAAAGAUCCGAGCUGUCCGAGAAUUCCGCUGAGCCGCCGUCUUGUUUGUACGGCAAAGUAGCCUGCGUGGUAUUUGUCUCCGACGCUGUCUUCGCGAAGCUGUCUAUUUCGCUGGCUACGUAAUAACUGGAAUGUGACUUAAGAUGGCCGCUGUCCAGGCACCUGUCUAUUUACCAUCUACAGUGAGUAUUGGAGCACACCCGAUACAACAUUGCUUUUGGUAGAUAUGCUACUGCCUUCGUCACAUCCGCUUCCACUAGAAUAGCCAAUAAGUACGAACUACGAUUUUGUAAUUACAGAAGUGAUCGGUCGAGAAGAAAGGUUCUGGAAUGACUGCCGCCAC